UCAUCACUCCGCAGUCUGCCCCCCAGCCCACUGAUAGCAACCAUCAUAAUGCCCCACCCAGCUUCCGGCACCUUUCGCCACUCCGGCACAAACCGACACAGCUUUGCGAUCUCCCCAGCAUGCAGAGUCUGAUGUCUUCCCUAUAGAUGAUUCCAGAGACUCUGUGAGGCCACUAUUGCAAGGUGAGACGCUUUGCGUUGAUUGGUGCUGCUGGACCACACUGGAGGUGCGAGUCCGCCGUGUAAUGGUUUAUGCCAUUACAAAGGAGCUGGCCUCUGUACUCAACUGGGCAGGGAAAAAAUACCAAGGACCAGACAAAGCAAAAAAGGGCAUUUAAAGAGACAGCGCCGUGCAGAUGCAUAUUUGAUGGCCUGGCGCAGCAGGUAGGGGCGAACUCUAUGUCUGAGUUGGUCUUUGCUCAAGCAGUCCAGAAAUGGCUCAGAUAUGCUCCAGAUCGUACGGGUGGCGCGCAGGACACACAUCAUCCAUCCCCAUCCCGGAGUAAAUAAUAAAAAGUGACGUGAAACAUAGAAAUGUAAAUAGGAAACUUUGUCUUUUAAUAAAGUAUUUUGCAAAUGA
This is a long non-coding RNA of Pelmatolapia mariae (spotted tilapia), 579 nucleotides long. RefSeq lists it as uncharacterized. The transcript has 4 exons. The record is from RefSeq and is a predicted model, not a curated record. Lineage: Eukaryota; Metazoa; Chordata; Actinopteri; Cichliformes; Cichlidae.